GAUGAACGCUGGCGGCGUGCCUAAUACAUGCAAGUCGAGCGAACGGACGAGAAGCUUGCUUCUCUGAUGUUAGCGGCGGACGGGUGAGUAACACGUGGAUAACCUACCUAUAAGACUGGGAUAACUUCGGGAAACCGGAGCUAAUACCGGAUAAUAUUUUGAACCGCAUGGUUCAAAAGUGAAAGACGGUCUUGCUGUCACUUAUAGAUGGAUCCGCGCUGCAUUAGCUAGUUGGUAAGGUAACGGCUUACCAAGGCAACGAUGCAUAGCCGACCUGAGAGGGUGAUCGGCCACACUGGAACUGAGACACGGUCCAGACUCCUACGGGAGGCAGCAGUAGGGAAUCUUCCGCAAUGGGCGAAAGCCUGACGGAGCAACGCCGCGUGAGUGAUGAAGGUCUUCGGAUCGUAAAACUCUGUUAUUAGGGAAGAACAUAUGUGUAAGUAACUGUGCACAUCUUGACGGUACCUAAUCAGAAAGCCACGGCUAACUACGUGCCAGCAGCCGCGGUAAUACGUAGGUGGCAAGCGUUAUCCGGAAUUAUUGGGCGUAAAGCGCGCGUAGGCGGUUUUUUAAGUCUGAUGUGAAAGCCCACGGCUCAACCGUGGAGGGUCAUUGGAAACUGGAAAACUUGAGUGCAGAAGAGGAAAGUGGAAUUCCAUGUGUAGCGGCGAAAUGCGCAGAGAUAUGGAGGAACACCAGUGGCGAAGGCGACUUUCUGGUCUGUAACUGACGCUGAUGUGCGAAAGCGUGGGGAUCAAACAGGAUUAGAUACCCUGGUAGUCCACGCCGUAAACGAUGAGUGCUAAGUGUUAGGGGGUUUCCGCCCCUUAGUGCUGCAGCUAACACAUUAAGCACUCCGCCUGGGGAGUACGACCGCAAGGUUGAAACUCAAAGGAAUUGACGGGGACCCGCACAAGCGGUGGAGCAUGUGGUUUAAUUCGAAGCAACGCGAAGAACCUUACCAAAUCUUGACAUCCUUUGACAACUCUAGAGAUAGAGCUUUCCCCUUCGGGGGACAAAGUGACAGGUGGUGCAUGGUUGUCGUCAGCUCGUGUCGUGAGAUGUUGGGUUAAGUCCCGCAACGAGCGCAACCCUUAAGCUUAGUUGCCAUCAUUAAGUUGGGCACUCUAAGUUGACUGCCGGUGACAAACCGGAGGAAGGUGGGGAUGACGUCAAAUCAUCAUGCCCCUUAUGAUUUGGGCUACACACGUGCUACAAUGGACAAUACAAAGGGCAGCGAAACCGUGAGGUCAAGCAAAUCCCAUAAAGUUGUUCUCAGUUCGGAUUGUAGUCUGCAACUCGACUACAUGAAGCUGGAAUCGCUAGUAAUCGUAGAUCAGCAUGCUACGGUGAAUACGUUCCCGGGUCU
RNAcentral lists this ribosomal RNA (1372 nucleotides) under uncultured bacterium. Its description in RNAcentral is "bacterial SSU rRNA". It matches the Rfam family "Bacterial small subunit ribosomal RNA", at positions 28 to 1381 of the family's 1533-position model. The record is from RNAcentral.